GAGGUAAAAGGCAGUUUACAUCUCCAGUGACAGGCAUCUCUCGCUGUCUUCGUGUGUGUGUGUGUGUGUGUGUGUGUGUGUGUGUGUGUGUGUGUGUGUGUGUGUGUGU
Molecule: long non-coding RNA, 109 nt
Organism: Salarias fasciatus (jewelled blenny)
Lineage: Eukaryota; Metazoa; Chordata; Actinopteri; Blenniiformes; Blenniidae
Exons: 3
Source: RefSeq, a predicted model, not a curated record